This 1148-nucleotide long non-coding RNA is filed under the name Sus scrofa (pig). RNAcentral describes it as "lncRNA (ENSSSCG00025060159.1)". The record is from RNAcentral. Lineage: Eukaryota; Metazoa; Chordata; Mammalia; Artiodactyla; Suidae.
UAAAAAAAAUGUAUUUCUUCUGGCACUGAUGAAAACCCAUUGCACCUGGCAGAAGAAAUAAGAAACAACCCUCCAGCCCUAGAGAAGUGGUGAGGACAUAUUUUUAAUAAAAACUCUAACUGGGGGAAGGAGCAGGAACAUGAAAGCCACAUCCAGGAGACCCAGGGAUGCUUCUCUCCUUCACUUUCUGCCACAGGGCCAGGAUUGCGGGGUAAACUUCAAGAGACAGACCUCCUGUGAAACACACUAAAAGGGAAGAUUGGACCGCAAAGGUGGAAUAGAAAUGGAGGAAAAAACGUUGGGAAGCCAGCCUGUACUUUAAACACAGUAGAGCCAUUAGAACAGAACACUGAGAACCAGAGGUUUGAGUCAUGAGCAGAAACCUUUAUAUCCCAAAUCUGGACUAAAGACAAAGGUAACUUAAAAUUGGCUGUCCCCAGCAAAAUCAAUUCCCACAUGGUGAUGCAGCUAAGAAUCAUCAGUAGCCAUUACUCCUAGAAGCUCAUGGAAUUUGAAAGACCAAACAGAAGCUUUGGCAAGCCAUGGGAUAACCCAGAAGAAACCUGUGUGAAAGUUCUUAUAUGGAGAGUGAGUAGAGAGAUCUGGAAAUAUGUGUUUCUAAACAAUGGCAAGAAAUCUAGCAACUGGCAAUUAUACAAGAUUUUCUUUUUGUAAACAACACUGGAAUUUAAAUUAUUUUCAGGUAGCAAUGCCAGGAAUUUCUAAGGAAAUAUAAGGAUGAAAUGAGUUGAAAGAAAGAAGAGAUACUGGAGACCUGUUAAAUUAGGUAAAACAAAGAAAAAUUAAGGAAAUAUUUAGAAGAAGUAGUAAGACUAUCAAAUUUAAAUCUGUAGUUCCUUCCCCUCUGUGUAAAGAUGUCUUUAAUAUGGUAAUGGAUGUCAGAGGGUGGGGAGAGAGGCUGCAAUCACAUCAAUAGGAGAUAAGAGGACUCCAUCUUUUCUGCAUAUAAAGCUUUAGACCUGCAUUUUAUUUCAAGUUUGGUGAACAGCAAUCAGUUCCCAUUUGUGAUUAGACUCUGUCUUUUCACCGAAGAGAGGGUUGAGACAGAGUUUUAAAGGUUAUUCUACACUAGACAAAAGGAGUACAUGAAAAAUAAAAGGCUUUUCAAAUGAUCUAAAGUGCCCUUG